UUUCCGUAGGUGAACCUGCGGAAGGAUCAUUACAGAAUUCCUGCCCUCUGGGUAGAAUUCCCAUCCUUUGACUACUAUGUCAUUGUUGCUUUGGCGGGCUUCGCCGCCCGCCAGAGGCCACUUACACUCUGAAUGUUUGUAACGUCUAAGUCAUAUGAAAAUUAUGAAAACUUUCAACAACGGAUCUCUUGGUUCUGGCAUCGAUCAAGAACGCAGC
RNAcentral lists this unclassified non-coding RNA (217 nucleotides) under uncultured fungus. RNAcentral describes it as "sequence contains ITS1, 5.8S rRNA gene". The stretch from base 169 to 217 matches the Rfam family "5.8S ribosomal RNA", at positions 1 to 49 of the family's 154-position model. The record is from RNAcentral. Lineage: Eukaryota; Fungi.